UACGGAGGGUGCAAGCGUUAUCCGGAUUCACUGGGUUUAAAGGGUGCGUAGGCGGGCAGGUAAGUCAGAGGUGAAAUCUCCGGGCUUAACCCGGAAACUGCCAUUGAUACUAUCUGUCUUGAAUAUCGUGGAGGUAAGCGGAAUAUGUCAUGUAGCGGUGAAAUGCUUAGAUAUGACAUAGAACACCAAUUGCGAAGGCAGCUUACUACCCGAAUAUUGACACUGAGGCACGAAAGCGUGGGGAUCAAACAGG
This 253-nucleotide ribosomal RNA is filed under the name uncultured bacterium. Its description in RNAcentral is "partial 16S ribosomal RNA". It matches the Rfam family "Bacterial small subunit ribosomal RNA", at positions 524 to 776 of the family's 1533-position model. The record is from RNAcentral.